AGCUGAAGAGAAUGAGUUGAAGAGAAACAGAGCAAAUAAAGCUAAUCAUUACUUUAGCCUCACAGCUUAGUAAACAUUUGCAGGUUGCUCUUAAAGCCACUAGAUGCAGGCUGUAACAGCUGAAGGGAAUCCCUAAUCUUUUAACUACAAAUGCAAAGUACAAGGUUCGAUCCUCAUGGAGCUUGCGUGGAAUACCGGAAUUAAAUACAUUCAAAAGGGAUGGAAUACUGAUGGAAACCCUGACUGGGGUCUCCCCAGAAUAUGAGGAAUGACUACAGACUUCUAAAUUGUACAGAGCUGCAACUUAAAAUGAGAUUAAAUUCCUUUCAGUCUUUGCUUAAGAAACAGCCCUGGCACUUGUAAGACGAUGCGGCAUGCCAAAUUAAAAAAAAAAGAAAACCAUAACAUAGUAGGUUAAAAUUAGUUUGAUAUUAAGUAUAUACCAAAAUUUCCCAAUAUAUCUGUAUUUAUGUGGGAGGGCAUCUCUUGACUAAGAGACAAAUGUAAGGUUUGCAUGUUCAUCAUCACUCACCAGGAAAUUAGAGGGACAGAAAUUAACCUCUGAAGUCUAGGAUCCAAAAAGACUGGAAGGUGCUGUAAUACCUGCCUCAUUUCAGGAGACUGACUGCUCAGUCUUCUGAGACUGGAGCUGUGAGACCACCGCCAACCAGGUGUGCAUCCUAAACCUGACAGCCUGAUAGGAACCCUCUCCUAACAUCAGCUGGUGCUUCUAUCCCAGAAAUUGCAUCUGAUUACAAAUGCCUCAAGAAUGACUUCAAGAAUCGUGAGGACCACAAUAAGACAGUUUACCCUUCCCAUCUCCUGUGACUCAAUCAAGCUGAGCCUGGGUGAUAAUGAACAGGGGAAUAAUCGUAAGCUCUCAAUUUGCUUAAAUUUUAGAGGGAAAAGUGCAGAAAAAUGUGUACUAGCCAAUGUUAAAUAAAAAAUAACCAUGCAAAAGAUGCCUGGAAUAGUAGUCAUGAAGUUGACAGAAACUACUGCUAAAACACAAUUAUAAGUACUUCUUCAGUGUUACAGCUUUUUUCUUUUAACCCUGCACGCUUACCUUUAGAGAAACCAAGAAGGCAGAAGAACUGAAGCUCUCCUGAGCACAAACAGAUAAAUGCAGUAGGCAGUUCCCUACCUGAACUGCGUGGGACUUAACACACAGCUAACUCACUUAUUAAUCAGAUAAUUUAGGUCAUGGUCUAAACUGCUUUGAAGCAAAGCUAACAAUAAAUCAGCUUCAGUAUUGCAGCUUCUGAAGAGAGUUCAGAAAUUCAUGAUAAUACAGAGAACUCUGCUUAAAGAGAACAGG
This is a long non-coding RNA of Falco peregrinus (peregrine falcon), 1318 nucleotides long. RefSeq lists it as uncharacterized. Lineage: Eukaryota; Metazoa; Chordata; Aves; Falconiformes; Falconidae. The transcript has 4 exons. The record is from RefSeq and is a predicted model, not a curated record.